UCGCCUGUUUAUCAAAAACAUGUCCUCAUGAGUAUAAUUUGAGGUCUAGCCUGCCCACUGAAUUUAUUUAAAUUUGAAGGGCCGCGGUAUUUUGACCGUGCAAAGGUAGCAUAAUCAUUAGUCUUUUAAUUGGAGGCUGGAAUGAAUGGUUGGACGAGGCAUUGACUGUCUCAGUGUAAAUGAUAUUAGAAUUUAACUUUUAAGUUAAAAGGCUUAAAUUUAUUUAGAGGACGAGAAGACCCUAUAGAGCUUUAUAUUUAACAAUUAUUAUAUAUUUAGGUGUAUUUUUGUGGUAGUUGAUAAAGUAUUUUGUUGGGGUGACAGGAAGAUAAAGUAAACUCUUUUUAAUAGUUAACCAUUAAUUUAUGAAUAGUUGAUCCAUUAUUAGUGAUUAUAAGACUAAGUUACCUUAGGGAUAACAGCGUAAUCUUUUUUGAGAGUUCUUAUCGACAAGAAGGGUUGCGACCUCGAUGUUGGAUUAAGGGUAAUUUUGGGUGUAGAUGUUCAAAGUUUAGGUCUGUUCGACCUUUAGAUCCUUACAUGAUCUGAGUUCAAACCGGAGA
RNAcentral lists this ribosomal RNA (563 nucleotides) under Megarcys signata. RNAcentral describes it as "partial 16S ribosomal RNA". It matches the Rfam family "Bacterial large subunit ribosomal RNA", at positions 1796 to 2622 of the family's 2925-position model. Lineage: Eukaryota; Metazoa; Arthropoda; Insecta; Plecoptera; Perlodidae. The record is from RNAcentral.